GCGGGACGUUGGAUGCGAGUGUUUCUUGUUGUGUCUUUUUUAGUUCAAAAGAACAGUUUGGAUUUGAAUUAUCAAACUAUAAUUGUACAAAAUUUGAAGGCAUUGCAAGCGAUACGAGAUUGGCCGAAGUCACUGCCGCCAUUACGGAAUUUUCCCUCAGAACGGAGAGCGGGAAACCAACUACAAGCAUCAACUAAGCUAAGGCAUGCAUGGCUUUGGCAUCUUUAUCAUCGGAGGAACUUCUGAGGCUGAGCUUGAAUUAUCAGAGGAACAGAAGAGAGAAUUCAAAGAUGGAUUACAGAGCUGCUCUGGUUUUACUUCCUGUGAUAUUUCUGGAGAAAGUGGACAAUUAUGUCAAAAUUGGAAUCGGAAAGGAUAAACCAGCUAGACCAUAUCCCACUUGACAGAUUUUGGGAAAGUAUGACAGAAACAGGUCUUGAGUGAGAAGAGAAUCUUCAGCGCUGUGAAAAUGGAGGGAUCUGAAAUUUGCCAAGCAGUUGGGGUCUAGGAUGAAGUUCUUUCUGCUUUUUGUGUGUAUUUUGUGCACAACAGGAACACCCUGCUCUUUCUCCAGAGGCAUGUGUUGAAGGUAGCGACACUUGGUGACAAGUCAUUGCCAACUGCUGUUGUCAGGAUUAUUCAUCUUUUGUCCUAGACUCAGAGCAUGCCACGGCCCUAUGCUUGUCCAAAGUCUUCACAUCGACAUUUUACUGCAGUAAAACUAAUUAAACAUAUAGGCUUGAUUCAUGCUCAUUAGCCUAAUUUUUCAAUCUGCUGCGGACUUGAUGAGUGUCUGCGUUUCUUUUGCAAAAACGAGUCUGCUGUGCCUACAGAGGAUGUUCCAAUAUUCUUUCAGGUUAACAUUGUUGAUACUGUGUGGAAAACUGUUGCUUCCACAUUUGUUUGAUUCUCAUUUUCAUGCAUUUCAAGUGUUUCAUAUGACAAGGACUGGUUUUGUUUGAUGCAAGGAGAUUAACUGGACUACCUGGCACUUGACCUCCUAUAUGGUUGAUGUUGUUUUCUAUGUAGGAGCUAGAUAUUUGUAGUCACUUAACAUGUUUUUGUAGAAUUGUCACAAUGUUUUUUGGAUGUUUUGCGUUAUACAUCACAUUCGUUUGUAUUAGGAAUAAUUUAAGCUUUAAAAUGUUAAUGUUACGAUUGUAAUGUUGAUGGUAUAUUUCAGGCAAUAUUGACAAUUGUGUCAUCAUACACACACCCUCAAGUUGAUCCAAACCUGUAUACAUAUCUUUUGUUCUGCUGUACUCAAAGGAAGGUAUUUGAAAUAAUGUCAGUAACCAAACAGAUCUCGCCCAGCAUUCACAAUGAUGGUAUUCUUUCUACUAUAUAGUCCAUGAUGGGAGAGACCUGUUUGGUUACCAACAUUCUUCCGCAAUAUCUUACUUUGAGUACAGCCGAACAAAGAAAUGUAGCUUAUAUGUAGCUCAGUGGUAAGAGCAUGGUCGUGGGUUCAAUCCCAGGGGAUUGCACAUACUAAUAUAUAAAAUGUAUAGGAAAACGCAGUGUAAGUUGCUUUGGAUAAACGUGUCUGCCAAAUGCAUAAAUGUUAAUGUAUACAGCAGAAAAAAUAAAUGUAUACGGGUUUGGAUCAUCUUCAGGGUGAGAGAAUGACGACACAAUUCAUUUUUUUGUCUCAACCAUAACCUUAAUGACUGGUAUUGCACGAAAAGCCAUAUAAAAAAAUAUGAAUUUGAUAAAAUGUAUUGUGAACAGUUUUUGACAAGUAUUAUAUUGUUGAUGGGAAAUUGUAUUUUACACUAUAUAUUCAUGUUUUAGUAAAAUGGUUUGCAUCCAAAAGAGAAAUGUUUUAAAAAUGUGAUUUUAUGUUUUUACUUUUUAUUGUUAAGUAGAUUCUACUGUAUGCUAAAGAACAGUGUUGGUUCAAACACCUA
Long non-coding RNA from Triplophysa dalaica, 1910 nucleotides. RefSeq lists it as uncharacterized. NCBI's taxonomy places the organism in Eukaryota, Metazoa, Chordata, Actinopteri, Cypriniformes, Nemacheilidae. The transcript has 4 exons. The record is from RefSeq and is a predicted model, not a curated record.